This 169-nucleotide unclassified non-coding RNA is filed under the name uncultured Helotiales. RNAcentral's name for it is "sequence contains ITS1". The record is from RNAcentral. Lineage: Eukaryota; Fungi; Ascomycota; Leotiomycetes; Helotiales.
CAGAGCUCUUGCCCGCAAGGGUAGAUCUCCCACCCUGUGUUGUAUUUACCUCUGUUGCUUUGGCGGGCCGCCCUGGCCCCGGUCAGGCUACCGGCUUCGGCGGGUACGCGCCCGCCAGAGGACCCCAAACCCUGAACGUCAGUGUCGUCUGAGUACUAUACAAUAGUUA